GACUCAUUAUAUUUGACCAACUGUAAUGUGACUAAAAUAUUUUAAAUCAUUAAGACAUUUGAUGAAAUUAAAAAUACUUGUGUUCUCGUGACUGGUAGAUUAGUGGCAACAUUGCUGCUGUUCUGAUUUGGUAAGAUCUGUCCUGAAACACUGAUGGGAAUUAAUUAAACUUGGUUUGUAAAUUGUGAAUGUUCUUAUAUGCCUAACGCUUAGCUGAGUUUCAUGGUCGCUUAUUCUCCCUAUUCUCCUAGUGCUAUACGUAGAGUAUUCUAACAGAAGGUUCAUUCCACGUUGGCUCCUGUCCUGGAUGGGAAUCCCUGUAGGACACAUUGUAACAGAUAUGAAUGAAUGAGGUGAUGGCACUGUUAAAAUGGAUAAUAAGUAUAUUACACAACUGCUCCAAACAUAC
Molecule: non-coding RNA, 409 nt
Organism: Pelobates cultripes (western spadefoot toad)
Lineage: Eukaryota; Metazoa; Chordata; Amphibia; Anura; Pelobatidae
Source: the annotation of a GenBank genome assembly